UAUUGCCCGCGUCGGGAUAGGGGUACCCCGACGUCACCGGGCACCCCGGCGGCACGAAGAGCUGCACGUGAGGGGUUCUGAUGCCGCCCUCACGCCUUGCCCGACCUCUCCUGUAGUGUUCUGAACCUCCAGAGCCGAUGGCGUGGUGGUGAACUGCUGGGAGGAAGGAGGUUGCACAUGUUGUGUUCCAGUAUAUGAAACUGUUGCAGAAAAUGAGCCCAGAUAAAAGGCACUGAUUUCUCCCUGAAGACACCUGAUUUCCUAGAGACAGCUUAUCCAGUAAAAGGUGUGAGUACAGCACAGCGAUGCAUGUGGUACAAGAAGGACAAUAAAUUCCAGAAACCUGAAGGUCCUGAUGUGCUAGCUGAGAAAUGCCCAGGAAAUGAUCGGUUGCCAGAUGUUGCAGAAACACAGCUUCAAAGUUGAAACCUCUGCUAUUGUCAUCAGGAUAAUCCACAACGAAUGUCAAACUUUGUAUGAAGCUGGCACUGCAGGACUUGUGGAUACCUUUGUUAACCUGUGUGCUGUUCCCAGGGCAUCCAAAGCAACUGCAGCUGCCUCUGAAGCGUUCCUGUUGUAGCUGUUUGGGCACCAGGACCAGCAAAGUAAGUGAGUGUGUUUAGUUAAUAACUGCUUUGAGUUGGCCAGUGUGUUAAUGUGCAAAUGGACUGUGGUAUCCCUCUGAAUGGUGAGUCAUGACCUGUAUAUAUAAAUAUAUAGUUAAGACAGCUGUUAGAGGAGGCAUAGCUUAGUGCCACAGGUUUGGGACUCUUGUAAGAGGCUGUGUCAUUUUUCUUAUGUCUUAUCUGUGUGGACAUAAAAUUCAUACAGAAUCAUAGAAGCGUUGGGCAGGAAGGGACCUUAAAACCUGUUCUGGUUCCAACCUGGCCUGGGCUGGCUGCCACCCAAUAGAUCAGACGGGGAGCACUCCGUUUUUUCUGGGAAUUAUUUCUAUUUGCUACUGUAUUACUCUCCUAACGUGUUUAAUUGAAAUAUUUUAAUGGAAUGACUUAGAAGUUACUUUCAAGAUACACACUGCUUCUGAAGGCUUAAGCAGUACAUAGAAUGACUUAGGAUGGAAGGGACUUUCCAAGUUUCAGCCCCCCGCUGAACAAAACAGUCUGCUUACUUAAAGCUGGCCAUAACUUGUCUUUGUGAUUCCUAUUAUGGUGGUGUAGCUGCUAAAGAUGGUGAAAUUCCAAAGAGGACAGCCAAAGUAUGCCAACAGGCCCCUAAGCCCCUCAGUUUUAACACUCAAGAGCUAAGGAAAAGACAGACCAAAAUGCAAUACAGGACCAGUUCUAAGAGACAGCAUUUUAAGUACUAAAAUGUAAUUAGUUCAGUAGGCGCAGAUAAAAAAAAAAUUUAAUCUUUCUAUAGAAACAGUGCACUGUUUUACAAACGUAUUCAUUUGGUUUUCAGUAAUCCUUAUUCAUGUAAGUACAGCACGUGUUACACAGCAGAUCCCUCCCCACCCUCCCUGGUCCUUUUGUCCAUACCAAAAACUGAAACACAAAAGGCACCAAGCAAGAACUUACUUGAACAGAACUUCAACAUGACAAGACGGAUCAGAAGUGUUUACAAUGUUAAAUAUCAUCCUAACAUCCUGACCUGUUAUUUAAAAUAAUUUCUUUAAA
Molecule: long non-coding RNA, 1637 nt
Organism: Meleagris gallopavo (turkey)
Lineage: Eukaryota; Metazoa; Chordata; Aves; Galliformes; Phasianidae
Source: RefSeq, a predicted model, not a curated record